CAUUAGGGUCUGCUACACAAGCAGUUGGGCCCAUGCCCCAAAAACGGAGUAUAACCCCCUA
Molecule: transfer RNA, 61 nt
Filed under: Calotes liocephalus
Lineage: Eukaryota; Metazoa; Chordata; Lepidosauria; Squamata; Agamidae
Description: tRNA-Met
Source: RNAcentral